Lytechinus variegatus (green sea urchin) is the source of this 337-nucleotide long non-coding RNA. RefSeq lists it as uncharacterized. NCBI's taxonomy places the organism in Eukaryota, Metazoa, Echinodermata, Echinoidea, Temnopleuroida, Toxopneustidae. The record is from RefSeq and is a predicted model, not a curated record. The transcript is spliced from 3 exons.
UACCAAUGUCUUUCUUUGGCAAUGCAAUGUACACCCUCCCAAUCUGGGUGGUGUUGCUUCUCCCAAGCAUGUUCUGCCACCGCGGAUGUGUCGGUUCGCUGUAACCGAACAUCGCGCUUGUGUUCAGAAAUGCGUUCAACUAUCGGUCGGGCUGUCUCUCCGAUGUAAGACCCGUUACAUCCCUGGCAAGGAAUGUUGUAUACUACGCCAUCACGUCUGUGAUCAGGGAUAGGGUCUUUGGGGCGUACAAGCUGUUUGCGUAAGGUGGUGUCCGAGCGGAAAACCGUUCGGAUACCGUGACCUUCUAAUCGGCGUUUAAGUUGUUGUGAAAGGCAGA